Molecule: small nuclear RNA, 107 nt
Organism: Myotis lucifugus (little brown bat)
Lineage: Eukaryota; Metazoa; Chordata; Mammalia; Chiroptera; Vespertilionidae
Source: Ensembl
GUGCUCGCUUCGGCAGCACAUAUAUUAAAGUUGGAAUGAUACAGAGAAUAUUAGGAUGGCCCCUGCGCAAGGAUGACACUUAAAUUCGUGAAGCGUUCCAUAUUAAA